Lipotes vexillifer (Yangtze River dolphin) is the source of this 554-nucleotide non-coding RNA. NCBI's taxonomy places the organism in Eukaryota, Metazoa, Chordata, Mammalia, Artiodactyla, Lipotidae. The record is from RefSeq and is a predicted model, not a curated record.
AUGGGGAAUGGGAUGAACAAGAUCCUGCCUGGCCUGAAUAUCGGCAACUUCAGAGAUGCCAGAGAAGAACAAGGUGACACACAUUCUGUCUGUGCACGAGAGUGCUAGGCCAACAUUGGAGGGGGUUAAAUACCUGUGCGUUCCAGGAGCGGAUUCACCAUCUCAAAACCUGACGACAUUUCAAAGAAAGUAUUAAAUUCAUCCACGAGUGCCGCCUGCGAGGUGAGGGCUGCCUUGUUCACUGCCUGGCCGGCGUCUUCAGGAGCGUGACUCUGGUGGUUGCAUACAUCAUGAUGGUCACCGACUUCGGCUGGGAAGAUGCCCUGUGCACUGUGCGUGCGGGGAGGUCCUGUGCAAACCCCAACCUGGGCUUCCAGAAGCAGCUCCAGGAGUUUGAGGAGCACCAGGUCCAUCAGUUCCGCCAGUGGCUGAAGGAGGAGUAUGGAGAGAGCCCUUUGCGGGAUGCGGAAGAAGCCAGAGGCAUUCUGGCCACCCCAGGGAUUCUGAAGUACUGGGCCUCUCUCAGAAGACUGUAAUGUACCUGAAAUAUUGCA